RNAcentral lists this long non-coding RNA (1122 nucleotides) under Chrysemys picta bellii (western painted turtle). RNAcentral's name for it is "lncRNA (ENSCPBG00000017632.1)". The record is from RNAcentral. Lineage: Eukaryota; Metazoa; Chordata; Testudines; Emydidae.
CUUUGCGAUUGUCCCCGGGGUGGCCACUUAACAUAGGUUUCGUCAUAAAUUGACCCCCCCCCCAUCCCUCAGGUCAGCACUGGCAGCCCCCACUGCUGGAUGCCAGCCCUCCCCUCCCCACUGCAGCUCCGAGCGAGCCUGCCCUCCCCUGCCAAGGAGAAAACACUUACCCAGAGGGUGCGGGGCGGCGGAUGCUAAGCCCCGACUCCUGCCCCUAGCCGCACGCUGGGAGCAGGCUGGCUGCCCAUCCACCAGCCGCUACCCCUGGGCAGGAGGUGCCCCGUUCACGGAAAGGGGGUGGGGGGGUGGCUGGGAUUUUUUUGGUUCAGGGUCCAGCCCCCCCGCCCCCGGGGCGUGCGGGGAGCGCGAUACAAUUUGUAGAGGAAAAAAAAAUCUCAAAGCCUCGGCCAAGCCCUAAGCGAUGCUGGCUGCGGUGUCCGCUCCACACCCUGCUGCUCAGCCAGACAGUCCCUCGGUCUUCCUCUCCUCUCCUCUCCUCUCCUUCUCCUUCUUCUCCUCCUUCUCCGUUGCUGCUGCCGCCGUCUUCCCUCCUCCUCCGCCGGGCUUUGUGCUGCCUGCAGCCAGCGUGCACCUGGUGUAAGCAAAGCAGACUGGUAGGAUUUUCAGAACUCCUGAAAUGAAUGCUUCCUGAAAGAAAUAUGCUUCCCUGGGGGACCAGACAGCUUUCAGUCCUGCUUCUGUGAAGGUGAGAGAGCUCCAUUUUCAUUUACUAUUUAUGAGAUGCGCAUUCAUAUUAUUGAGUGACCAUGGGCUUCUGUGCUCUUAAGAACCCGCAAAUGAGAAUAAGCUCAUUAUUUUUUAAUGUAAAGAGCAUGAUUGUAAACUUUGCAAGAGGAUGUACAACCUCAGAAAUCUUUACAUGGCUUUACUAUAGGAUAUAUAUUGAUGCUGUUCCCUUAAGAAGCUAGUAAGUUAUACGUAGUAUUUACCAGACACUCUGCAUAUUGAGGUAGUAGUUAUUGGGAAUAACAUUGAGCAGUUUUUUAUUGUAAGGCAUGACUCAGAGAAAAUGUGCCUGCUCUUUGGGUGAAUUUUACUGUCGUGUGCUUAGGUAAAUGCAGGAUCCCAUUUACAAAAUAAAGCUUCUGCUUAAUAAGGACA